This 1200-nucleotide long non-coding RNA is filed under the name Apteryx rowi (Okarito brown kiwi). RNAcentral's name for it is "lncRNA (ENSARWG00000006841.1)". Lineage: Eukaryota; Metazoa; Chordata; Aves; Apterygiformes; Apterygidae. The record is from RNAcentral.
AGAUGCGUGGUCCAGAGCCGUGUGAUCUCACCCUGCUGUUUGCCUCUUUUAUCAGCGACUGUUUCUCAGAGCUUGGCACACAGCGUAACAAGCCACAUAAGAUGUGAAUAAUCCUCCCCGGAUUCUGCCAAGRCAGAUCUCAUGAGCUUAUCACCAACGAUAGUCAGUGCUUUGACUAUCACUCUCUACCAAGUCAACACUUUGAUGGGCUCCUACAAGAAAGUCCUGCAGCAAAGCACGUGUUGCUGACAUGUUUUUAAUGCCGGUGCUCACGGGGAGGAUGAAGAGUGCUGYGCUGCGGAGGGGACGUUUCAGGUGCCCUGGGUGGGUGAUGACAGAAAAGCUCUGUAUAAAAUACAGCAGUUUUGAAGAACUUGCUGUGCAAUUUUAACGAAGCAGCCAGCACGCUCUGCUUCUCUCCUUGAUGCCUUUACAAGGUUUCCGCAGGUCAGCAUGUUUCAGCGAUGGGGGUGUGAUGCCUACCUAUAUUUUCCUGGGUGCCGCCAGUGCCUGCCCCUGGCUCAUCCAGAGGUGCUCAGACCUGCUGCAUCCUCCGCGAGCAGUCGGACGUAGCCAGCGGCUCCACAUGGGUCACCUGCCCGAAGAGCUGGUCCGGCCUCGGCAGAAAAAUACACAGGUGCUUUUUGGAGCCGCAGCCUGGGAGCCGGCAGGGCGAUUCCCACCGAGCGCGGAGCCGGGAGCGCCCAGCGGCACGAUGCUGCGCCGUCGCAACGCCAGAGAGCAAACCCCAGCUGAGACGGGGAAUUUUUCACUCUUUCCAAAAUCUCUUGGCAAAAAGCAGACUCAACAACUACCCAGAGCUGCUUUUUUUUUUUUUUUCUUUUUUUUUUCUGCAGCUUUGUCCAGUAAUAAACAACUGCUUCAAUCUGCUGCGCUGAUCAAAAGAAACGUUUUAAUCAGUCCCAGGCAAAAUAUCAUGCUAUUAUGUUAUCACUGGAGCAAAUCAUCGAAAAUACAAAACAAAAAUAUCAGUUUAAUACGGUCCAGAUCAGGAAUGUCUUGAAGAAACUUGCUUUCCUCACAGGUGUGUUCUAUUUUAAGAGUAAAGACAGAAGAAUUAAAACGCGCAGGCUGGAUUUGGGGCUAGCGUGGCUGUCAAAGCUGAGACGCCGAGAUCAAACCUAACCAAGCACAAUUACAGGAAAUAAAACGGGCAAACCGCUCUGCUCUAUUCCGUGU